CAGUAGCCGCGGGAAUACAGAGGGUGCGAGCGUUAAUCGGAUUUACUGGGCGUAAAGCGUGCGUAGGCGGCUUCUUAAGUCGGAUGUGAAAUCCCUGAGCUUAACUUAGGAAUUGCAUUCGAUACUGGGAAGCUAGAGUAUGGGAGAGGAUGGUAGAAUUCCAGGUGUAGCGGUGAAAUGCGUAGAGAUCUGGAGGAAUACUGAUGGCGAAGGCAGCCAUCUGGCCUAAUACUGACGCUGAGGUACGAAAGCAUGGGGAGCAAACAGGAUUAGAGACCCCCGUAGUCCCUGUCUCUUAUAC
RNAcentral lists this ribosomal RNA (301 nucleotides) under uncultured bacterium. RNAcentral describes it as "partial 16S ribosomal RNA". It matches the Rfam family "Bacterial small subunit ribosomal RNA", at positions 509 to 807 of the family's 1533-position model. The record is from RNAcentral.